AUCAUUCGAUAUUAAGUUGUAUUCCGCGUGUCUUUAAGUGCGUUCAUAAAACUUUUUUUUUUAUUACAACAAACGAUAAAAAUAGCAAAUCCUUACGUAGAUAUAUGCACAUCUAUGGUCUUUUUAAUUACUUUAGCCUACACAAAACUUAGCUGAACCUAAUUUUUUUCGUUGGUUGCGCAAGUUUCCAGUACAGUUUCAUAUAAUUAAAUGCGAUUCGUUAAUAUUGGUGUCGAGGUCUGCACGAUAUGCGAUAUUUUCGUAGCAUAUAAUCUAAAUGCGAUGAAGUUUAAAACAAAGUUAGGCUAGUUGUAGUAGCCUAUCGCUGACUGCGGCACCGCAUGUUCUUCAUAAAACUCGUUAUGCUAGCUGUGCCAUGAGAGGGUUAGACCAGUGCAAUACACACUAGGUUGAUAAAAUGUUCAGAGACGGGAAAUUAAUAUUGCUCGUUUAUUAAAACGUGCCUCUGCAGAGAGAACACAACAACACCGCCUCCAACAGAACCAGAAGAGGACGUUGCAUCGCUCAUGUUCCCACAAAGCCUUGCAAGCGACCUUACAAUGAAAUUUAAUACGUUUUUUUACGUUUCGGCGCCAUUUUCGAUUGGGCUGGAGGUGUUCUGAUGGCCCUUCAUGACCAGGACAGUGAGCCGGUUGCUGUAGGCCAGGCUGGGGCCUUGUGAGAACUGGUGUGUGGACCAGCCAUUACCGCAGACGCUGAAGCAUUUUACAUGGCCGUGGUACUUGUGUGGGAUGGAAAAGAGGAGGUGGGGGAGGGGAGUUUUCUCAUUGAGGUGGGGAGAGGAGAUGUGUGUACACUGAGCUUGGGACUUCCCCCUCCCACCCCCCGCACGGUUUACCCACCGCAGAUGCAUUUGCGCCCCCAGCACUGCUGACUGUAUGGCAGGAGAUGAAAUGUCUCUUGGAUCUGAUCUUUAGUGUGUCCUCUGCUUUAGAAAUGCUGAAAGCCGGGCGUGCGGUCUGCUCUAACCCUUCUGUGCUGGCUGUGAUGUGAUCUGAGACGGGGGACAGAGCCGGCCUAACUUGCCGUCGAUUUAAAAAUCUAAUUCAAGUGAGUGUUCAUCACGGCACGGGUAUAGUUUCGGCGAGAAGACGCUGACAUUUUAUAUAUAUUUCUGUACAGAUCUGCGUGAAAACUGAUGUGUAUUGGUAUUGUGUUGGUAAAAAAAUAGAAGAAAUGCCUGCUCAUUUGGGAACCUUGUUUAUAUUUAAUGGUGGCAUCAAAUCAAGAGAGAGAGAGUGUGUGUGUGAGUGUGUGUGUAUAUGUAUGUGUGUGAGUGUGUGAAUGUGUGUGUGUGUGUAUAUGUAUAUGUGUGUGUGUGUGUAUAUAUAUAUGUGUGAGUGUGUGUGUAUAUGUGUGAGUGUGUGUGUGUGUGUGUGUGUGAAUGUGAGUGUGUGUGUGUGAAUGUAUGUGUGUGAGUGUGUGAAUGUGUGUGUGUAUAUGUAUAUGUGAAUGUGUGUGUGUGUGUGUGUGUAUAUAUAUAUGUGUGAGUGUGUGUGUAUGUGUGUGUGUGUAUAUGUAUAUGUGUGAGUGUGUGUGUG
Molecule: long non-coding RNA, 1562 nt
Organism: Anguilla rostrata (American eel)
Lineage: Eukaryota; Metazoa; Chordata; Actinopteri; Anguilliformes; Anguillidae
Exons: 3
Source: RefSeq, a predicted model, not a curated record